Pyrus x bretschneideri (Chinese white pear) is the source of this 692-nucleotide long non-coding RNA. RefSeq lists it as uncharacterized. The transcript is spliced from 3 exons. NCBI's taxonomy places the organism in Eukaryota, Viridiplantae, Streptophyta, Magnoliopsida, Rosales, Rosaceae. The record is from RefSeq and is a predicted model, not a curated record.
AGUGACAGCAUUUCCUGCCGUACUUGCAGGGCUCUAGUUGUACCUCGUGACAGUGGGACAGGUACAGCUGGAGGACAUAGGGGUUCACCGUCAGCCAGAUGCUCAUCAACAGGGUAAACUUCUGGAACAAGGCUUUCAGCAGAAGGUCUUGCUAAUAUCUAAUCUCAGAUGAAUCCGUAUCCAUUUGAAAUUGAGUGGACAGGCACAACGGCUCAGGGUGGUGGAGUUGCUGGUGAUAGUGUGAGCCAACAUGAAGCCAAGCUCCGAGCUGCUGCUGCUGCUGCAGCAUCGACAUAUGAAAAGUCUCAUGUAUGAAUGCUGCGUACCAGAGGUCCAGAGCCUAACAAACUACGCCCUCUUGUGUAUGUCUCCUGGAGAUGCGGCACUUCCUCAGGUAUAUUGUAAGACAAUAUAUGUGGAUAACAAGGGAUGAGGAAAUUAGUUCAGGGAUGGAUGAAUAACUGGAGUCUCAGUUUUGAGCAUAUCAUUGUAUAAGUUAACUCUCUUCAUCUUUUUCGAAAAGAAAUUUGUCACUUGUAACAUUUACCAAUAACCGAACGCGAAUGGUAGAAUUGUGUAGAACUUGUAAUGCUGCCGCUAUGUACCCUAUCGGCUUCUUCUGUAUUAACUCAAACCCCAUAGAAAGCAGUGAUCUUGAGAGAUUUUCAAUGUGACCAGUACAUGAGUUGGUA